AGGGGAACAACAGCUGGAAACGGCUGCUAAUACCCCAUAGGCUGAGGAGCAAAAGGAGGAAUCCGCCCAAGGAGGGGCUCGCGUCUGAUUAGUUAGUUGGUGAGGCAAUGGCUUACCAAGGCGACGAUCAGUAGCUGGUCCGAGAGGAUGAUCAGCCACACUGGGACUGAGACACGGCCCAGACUCCUACGGGAGGCAGCAGUGGGGAAUUUUCCGCAAUGGGCGAAAGCCUGACGGAGCAAUGCCGCGUGAAGGCAGAAGGCCCACGGGUCAUGAACUUCUUUUCUCGGA
This 291-nucleotide ribosomal RNA is filed under the name uncultured organism. RNAcentral's name for it is "partial 16S ribosomal RNA". It matches the Rfam family "Bacterial small subunit ribosomal RNA", at positions 137 to 443 of the family's 1533-position model. The record is from RNAcentral.